Long non-coding RNA from Cryptotermes secundus, 3243 nucleotides. RefSeq lists it as uncharacterized. The transcript has 2 exons. Lineage: Eukaryota; Metazoa; Arthropoda; Insecta; Blattodea; Kalotermitidae. The record is from RefSeq and is a predicted model, not a curated record.
GUAGUGGUAUCAGUAUUCUUCGAAAUGAUUUUGUCAAAGUUGAACUUUGGGACAUAACCUCAAAAUCACUCAAAAUUUCGUUUCAUACGAAAGCUAUAUUGAACAUUUCAAAAAGCAUGUGGCCAACAUACAUUUUAAUUUAACCGUACCAUAUUACCAACAAUGUGGCACUACAACCUUACAGUUUCAGUGUCAAUCAUGUUAUUACCAAUUGUACAAAAUUAUGAAGUACUAAUUUUGGAUUGCCUCCAGUGGUACAAUGCUCGUAAGUUUCAUGAAACUCAGCUGCUUGAGGAAUUUAAUGACACAGUGUUUAUAUACCAUUCUAUUCCAUUACAAUUUGUUAUCUGGUUGAAUCGGGACACCAAGAGAUCGUGGUGACAUAAGGCUAUUUUCCUUCCAUAAGAAAGACGUAACGAUUUACCCUGUGCUGAAAAACCAAGCUGUAUUGAUGUAUGGGGAAGACUCGACAGAACUCAACACAACGUUAACCUUUCCAGGAGAUGGGGCUGAGUGGCCCAUUAGCAGCCUACUAGAGUUACCACUGGAACUAAAAACCUCCUCACAAAAAACAAAGAUCCAGCAACAUAAAAAUAACUGGAACCAUCAGACAACAUGUUCAAAGGGAUUUCCUCCUGCAAUGCCUCCGAUUAAUUUGUAAUUUUGAAUAUUGUUAAAAUUGUAAUAUGAAUGUUUGAAUUUUAAGUUAAAAUGUAAUGUUUGUAUAGAAUUAAGUAGGAUCUGACACACCGAAGGUUAACCAACAAAUUCCGUACUAGCAUUGUAGUUUAUGUAACCUGUGAACAGUUGUGUAUUCCUCAAGAUUUCUUCAUGAUGGCCUACAUGGGCCAAAGUAUGUUGUGAACUUAACAAUACAAACCAUUUGUUAACGUGAUGGCACCAACUCUAUUUAUACUUCUAUUAGAGAUAUAUUUUGCACCAAAUUACUUUUACUGCUACUUCAAAUUCAAUCAGAUUUCAUACAGCAGUAAGAACACUAUCUUACAAGAUGUGAUACUGUGCUCGUGUUAAAGUCUACUAUUGUUUUGGAGGAACAUAAUGUUCAUGGACAAAGAGAAAGCCAAGCAUGGGAAAAGCGGUAUGGACAUAUGGUAGGGAGUCCUGAGUGAACCAAAUGGGCCAAGGAUGAAUGAAAGAAUCAUUGCGCUUAAAUGGUCUGUUUUUGCCACAGCUGACAGAUGGGAAAUAGAGUGGCACAAGUCACCACUGGGAGGCACUGGUGUGCCAGUAGAGCAUGAGGGGCUGCAGACACAGAAUGCCCCUCUAAUUCUUUGCCAGGUGGGGGUCCCAUUUCAUAAACAUCCAUAUCCAUUAAAAGCAGACAAGUGAAAAUAUAAUAUUGCCUAUUGCAGAUCAGAAUGUCAUAUAUAAACACUACUGAGCAAUUUCAAAUGAGGCAUUUCUGUUCACUUCUACGAGUAUAUCUGAACAAAGUGGGUUGCCUUAACCAUUUGCUCCAAGUGUCAUUCUAGGAAAGUCAUUGUCUGGUUGUUGGGCUGCAAUGUCUGUCUAAUGUGCAAAGUUUCACUAUAGACAAAUAAACAGUCAGGGUCAUGAAUAAGUUUGCAGCCAACUUGAAACUGAUAUACAGUCUGAGAUUUUAGGUUGUUAUGCCAGUAUCAGAAUUAUGGUGUUGCAGGAUGUAACAAGUAAUUAGGGAAUUGGAUACCAACAUUCGAAACACCCAGCUACCAAAUGUUAUGGUGCCACAUUUCAGACCAUGAACGUACAUAUCAAGUAACUACAGGGCAGGGAUUUUUCAGUUUCAGUUUAUUUGUCACACAAUUCCAAUUACUCUGUCGUUCAAUAUAAAGAAAACCACUGUUGGAAUACAUAAUAAUAUCAGAACAGAAGAAAUAAAAGCAGUAUUUUAAUUUAGUACAUGCCCCACUAAAAUGCACUAAGAACUACAAGAAAAUACUGCACUACCACUCUUCUUUGCAUUCAGCAAUGACAUUAGCUUCAAUAUUACAAAGCCACAUUUUUUAGUCUAAGACGUAGCAUCAAAUUAGAUUGUAUACAGAAGGAAAUAAUAUACAAUAGGAAAUGAUUUAUUUCUAAGAUAAUACUAAAAACAAAAUAAGGCUGCAUAUGUUCAAUAUAAAUUCCAGCUGAAAUAUUUUACUUGGGAGUCUCAGAAACCAAAAAUGUGACUAUAGCAAGUUAACCCUUUCACUUCCAUUUCCAAGGCUGUUUAUUUACCACUUAUUCCUACAGACUGCCAUAAGGGACCAAGGUACAAUAGUACAAACAAAAUAUCUUUCAGAAUACACUCUGAGCAUGCAGUUCUUUUCUGGCAAUAAGACAGUGCAGCUAACAUUCUGAUUCCUUGGAUAUACAUGUAGAUUGUUGGCUACUCCUUUCUUUACCAUAAAAUACUAUGAAGUGCUAGUGUACUGCAAAAAGAAAUCUGGACAGGUAUGACAGCAAUACAAUAAAACUACAUUAAUCAAAAUACCAACAUCUCUAGCAAGUCAUGUCUUUAAUGAGUAAUAAUUUUUGGGUCAUCUGCCAUCCCAAAGUAAACUUAGACCAUACAUUUGCCAAAAUUUGCUGUUCUAAAUGUUAUUUAUAUUUAUGGUUUUGCUGCCGAGUGUGAGCAGCCACACAUUAUGGGCACCAGCCUGGAUAUAACCUUGGGAAUGGGCAUAUCCCGGUCUCCUUAAUCAUAACACAAACAGUAAUAUGGGACAAUCUACAGUCUGAUUUAACAUAUACUGUAAAGGUAAAAGGUAAAGCUAUCCCUUGUGGAAGCCCACAGGGUAGUGUGAUGUCAAGGCUCCCACAUUUUCUACACAACUGGCUCACAGAUGGUGGUGAGGAUGUCAGCCUCAUGCACCGGCUGGCUGCCUUUUACCCUCAGGAAGAUUCCUUGUACUCAUUUCUGCUACAGGCUGAGUUGAACCCAGGGACACAGUGAGGGUGGAAGGAUUGACUAAAAAAUGUGGGAGCCUCAACAUCCCACAACCUUAUGGGUCUCCCAGGCCCAUUACAGGAAUAGCUAACAUAUACUGUAUAUGAAUAAAAUAAAGAGUAAUGGAACAUGAGAUAAUCUAAAGAAAAUGAUAUGUCAAAGGAACACAAAAUCACAAAUUCGAUGUAUGGUAAUGAUCAAAUUCCGUUCGCAACAUCAGAAAAUAAGACAGUGAUAACUACUGAGUGAAAUAAACAGAGCUGCUUGUAAAUUUUCAGAAAUAAAAAUUAUAGGAAUGGAAACAUAAA